AACUUUCAACAACGGAUCUCUUGGUUCUGGCAUCGAUGAAGAACGCAGCGAAAUGCGAUAAGUAAUGUGAAUUGCAGAAUUCAGUGAAUCAUCGAAUCUUUGAACGCACAUUGCGCCCCUU
This 121-nucleotide ribosomal RNA is filed under the name Helotiales sp. UP526. Its description in RNAcentral is "5.8S ribosomal RNA". It matches the Rfam family "5.8S ribosomal RNA", at positions 1 to 121 of the family's 154-position model. From Rfam's summary of the family: 5.8S ribosomal RNA (5.8S rRNA) is a component of the large subunit of the eukaryotic ribosome. It is transcribed by RNA polymerase I as part of the 45S precursor that also contains 18S and 28S rRNA. RNAcentral also lists the same sequence under 1 other name. Lineage: Eukaryota; Fungi; Ascomycota; Leotiomycetes; Helotiales. The record is from RNAcentral.